AAGUCGUAACAAGGUUUCCGUAGGUGAACCUGCGGAAGGAUCAUUGGGAAGAGUGGGGGAAAGAUGUUGGAAUGUGGGGAUGGUGAUAUCACGUGACAAACUAUUCUUUAGAAUAAUGACUAGCCACCUGGGAUCUCUGGGCUCUU
This 146-nucleotide unclassified non-coding RNA is filed under the name fungal sp. Its description in RNAcentral is "partial internal transcribed spacer region". The stretch from base 1 to 46 matches the Rfam family "Eukaryotic small subunit ribosomal RNA", at positions 1786 to 1831 of the family's 1831-position model. Lineage: Eukaryota; Fungi. The record is from RNAcentral.